This 460-nucleotide ribosomal RNA is filed under the name uncultured bacterium. RNAcentral describes it as "partial 16S ribosomal RNA". It matches the Rfam family "Bacterial small subunit ribosomal RNA", at positions 338 to 795 of the family's 1533-position model. The record is from RNAcentral.
CCUACGGGUGGCAGCAGUGAGGAAUAUUGGUCAAUGGUCGCGAGCCUGAACCAGCCAAGUAGCGUGAAGGAGGAAUGCCCUGCGGGUUGUAAACUUCUUUUGUCAAGGAAUAAAGUGUGGCACGCGUGCCUUUUUGUGUGUACCUUAUGAAAAAGGAUCGGCUAACUCCGUGCCAGCAGCCGCGGUAAUACGGAGGAUUCGAGCGUUAUCCGGAUUUAUUGGGUUUAAAGGGUGCGUAGGGGGGUUGGUAAGUCAGGUGUGAAAGUUUGGGGCUCAACCGCAAAACUGCAUUUGAUACUGGCAGUCUUGAGUACAGUUGAGGUAGGCGGAAUGCGUGGUGUAGCGGUGAAAUGCUUAGAUAUCGCGAAGAACUCCGAUUGCGAAGGCAGCUUGCUAAACUGACACUGACAUUGAUGCUCGAAAGUGUGGGUAUCAAACAGGAUUAGAUACCCGAGUAGUC